Molecule: long non-coding RNA, 894 nt
Organism: Chenopodium quinoa (quinoa)
Lineage: Eukaryota; Viridiplantae; Streptophyta; Magnoliopsida; Caryophyllales; Amaranthaceae
Exons: 2
Source: RefSeq, a predicted model, not a curated record
AUUAAUUUGAUAUGUGAAGCAGAUAAACAAAUAUUAACAAUAUGGACGCAAAUGGCAUCUCAUCUUCUUGCAACAAUGAUGACAAAAUCUCAUCUUCUUGUAACAACAACAAAGACAACAUCUCAUCUUCUUGCAACAACAACAAUGAAACAUCUCAUCUUCUUGCAACAACAACAAUGACAACAUCUCAUCUUCUUGCAACAACAAUGAUGACAACAUCUCAUCUUCUUGCAACAACGAUGACAACAUCUCAUCUUCUUGCAACAACGAUGACAACAUCUCAUCUUCUUGCAACGCCGAUGACACCAUCUCAUCUUAUUGCAACGAUGAUCCAUAUCCUAUAUCUCAAGAUGAACAAACCCGAGAGGUUACAGUUAGAUUUGUGAAAGGGAGCGUCUUAUUCAAUUUUUUCAACCAAGAGAUAAAAAAUGGUGUUAUGGUGAAAAUCAUCCAAGAGAUAGAGAAUCGUACCUAAGUAUCACCAACUACAAUGCUAUUCCACUCAAUGGUGGUUCAACUUUUAAUGUAACUAUGGUGGCUCAGACGGAGCCAAAUUUCAAUGUAAGCCAAGAUGGCCAACAAGAUUUUGUGAACGAUUUUCUUAACUCCAUUUGAUUAGAUACGUUAUAUAUAUAUAUGGAGUAAUUUGUAACCAUCUCUCAUUGCAGAAUUACAUUUGUGAGUAUGUUAUGAAACUCGGUAAAUUACUUAAUUUCAGAUGCUACCUUACUAUUCAUCAUGUUGAUAGUAAGCUAGCUAAGCAUGUUAGUUGGACUCUUAAGGUUUAAUAUUGGUGUAGAAUGUUGAGAUCAAUUAAUCCCUUAAGCUAUAUUUAUUGGGUGUAAGCCAUUUGGAAUUUCGGAUUUUUUAUCCUAUUCAUUAGUUGUGUAGAAA